CCUUCUCCAGGGGAUUAUCCCAACCCAGGGAUCGAACCCGGGUCUUCUGCAUGGCAGACAGACGCUUUACCAUCUGAGCCACUAGGGAAGCCCAACCUCACUUUAUUUCUCUGUACACGAUUAUCCACAUUAAAUGGAAAUUAUAAAAUACAUAUACACAUACACACCACCAGGAAUAAAACAAACCACUGUGAAGAGUAAUAAAUAGAACCCAAGCCAGAAACGACCCAGGUACUCUCAGACAGGAGCUUUAAAAUAUCCUCGAGUUACAUGCUAGAGUACUGUGGGAAAGAUAUGUAACACACAGGAACAGAUGGAAGUUUCAGGAAGGAGAGGGAAACUAUGGAAAAAUGUAACUGAAAUGCUAGGAAUAACAAAACGUGACGUAGGAGACAAAGAGCUUCUCUGACAGCUUAUCAGACGACGGGACACGGCCGAGGACACGGCCGAGGAAGACUUUCACGUGAAGACAGGUUACUAGAGAUCAUUCGAAUGAAACACAAAAGGAAAAGGAAGAGUGGGGAGAGACGAGCAGAGCAUCCAGGAGCUGUGGGAUCAUCACAUGUGUCUGCUGCCCCGAGAGGAGAAGAGAGAGAAGCUGGGAGAGAAAAGACAUCUGGAGAGAAAAUGCUUCAGAAGUUUUCAGAAUUACUGACGCGCAGCAAAGAAUCUCAGACCCAAGAGUCUCAGAGAGCCCCAAGCAGCAUGAAUACAAACACACACUUAGACACAUCAUAGUCAAACUGUUGUAAAUCAAGGACAAAAGCCUUGAAGGCAAAGCAACCAGAGAAAGAGAAACUUUAAAUUCAGAAGAAUAAAGAUAAGCGAUAUAAGCAUUCUCAGAAGAUAAUAUGCAAAUUAGAAGACACUGGAAAGACAAGAUACUUUUUUGGAACCAACAAAAAAUUGGCAGGAUGCAUCGCCAGCACACCUGUGAGACAAGAAACGUGGGAGCGAUUCUUCAAGCAAGGAGACAUACAGACCCAUGCAGCGGAAUGAAGAGCUGCGUAAACCGUCACACUGAGGUGGAUAGAAUGCCUUUAAAAGACAACUGACUGCCUAGGCUAAAAUAUUAAUGAGGUUUUGUGGGAUUUAUAGCAUAGAGGUAAAACUCGCGGCCAUGAUAGCAACAAGGACAGGGGAGGAGACAGAAGUCCCUCCAGGCCAGAACACUGGAGGGGUGGCCUUUCCCUUCUCCAGGGGAUCUUCCCAACCCAGGGAUCGAACCCAGGCCUCCUGCCUUGCAGGCGGAUUCUCUACCAGCUGAGCCACAAGGGAAGCCCAAAGUGUUUGUACUAGAUAUGAGUUGGUGUAAUAUGAUUUAGAUAAAGGCUGUGAAAAGCUAUAUUGUAAAACCUAGGGCAGCCGCUAAGAAAUAAGGGAAAAAAAGACAUAAUUAACCAGCUGAUAGUGGGAAUGAAAUGGAAUCAUCAAUCCAAAAAAAAAAAAAGAAAAAAGAAAAGAAAAAAAGAACAUAGGAGACAAUACAAAGCAAUUAGCAAGAUGAUUCCAGUCACAUCAAUGAUUAUAUUAAAUGUAAAUAAAAGAACAUAGGAGACGAUACAAAGCAAUUAGCAAGAUGAUUCCAGUCACAUCAAUGAUUAUAUUAAAUGUAAAU
This is a long non-coding RNA of Capra hircus (goat), 1618 nucleotides long. RefSeq lists it as uncharacterized. The record is from RefSeq and is a predicted model, not a curated record. The transcript is spliced from 2 exons. NCBI's taxonomy places the organism in Eukaryota, Metazoa, Chordata, Mammalia, Artiodactyla, Bovidae.